UACGUAGGGGGCAAGCGUUGUCCGGAUUUACUGGGUGUAAAGGGAGCGCAGGCGGAUUACUAAGUCAGAGGUGAAAUCCUACAGCUUAACUGUAGAACUGCCUUUGAUACUGGUAACCUUGAGUUUGGGAGAGAGAGAUGGAAUUCCAGGUGUAGUGGUGAAAUACGUAGAUAUCUGGAAGAACACCAGAGGCGAAGGCGAUCUCUUGGCCCAUAACUGACGCUGAGGCUCGAAAGCGUGGGUAGCGAACAGG
Molecule: ribosomal RNA, 253 nt
Filed under: uncultured bacterium
Lineage: Bacteria
Description: partial 16S ribosomal RNA
Rfam family: Bacterial small subunit ribosomal RNA
Source: RNAcentral